Molecule: long non-coding RNA, 202 nt
Organism: Populus euphratica (Euphrates poplar)
Lineage: Eukaryota; Viridiplantae; Streptophyta; Magnoliopsida; Malpighiales; Salicaceae
Exons: 3
Source: RefSeq, a predicted model, not a curated record
CAUUUUCACGGUCUUUGGACCAUAAAUGCGCUGCUGUGAUGGCUUCUGAACCCUAGCGUAAAAGGAACCAAUUUCAGGUAAUGACAAGCUGCCCUUACUCGCUUUAGCAAGGGUAAAAUCAGGCUCGGUGUUAGUCUGGACAUGCCAAAAUAUCAACUGUCCCAUGCAAUAGUUCUCCCCAUAGGUUUUUUGAUACUUGUGG